UUUAAGCGUAGCCAUGAAUCUCCUUGUUCAACUUUGAUCGUACAUCUUAUUUAAUUUUUUUAUGAUUAAGAUUUUUAUUGUUAUUAGAUGAUGAAUCAUGAAUAGUACUUUAUGUUUAACUUAUAUAUUUUUUAAUUUUUUCAAAAAAAUUUAAAUAAAACUAACGAUUAAAGUUGGACACGGAAGCUCACGACUGCACUGUGA
Non-coding RNA from Oryza punctata, 204 nucleotides. Lineage: Eukaryota; Viridiplantae; Streptophyta; Magnoliopsida; Poales; Poaceae. The record is from Rfam.